Octopus sinensis (East Asian common octopus) is the source of this 364-nucleotide long non-coding RNA. RefSeq lists it as uncharacterized. The record is from RefSeq and is a predicted model, not a curated record. The transcript is spliced from 3 exons. NCBI's taxonomy places the organism in Eukaryota, Metazoa, Mollusca, Cephalopoda, Octopoda, Octopodidae.
CCAAAUUAAUAUUCUAUUUAUUAAAAUACAAACAUUUCACUACAGAAACUCAAUUUAAACAUUUAACAGAAGGAAAGAAAAUGGUCAUAUUUUCAGCAUAAUUUUAUUCAAAGAUAUCAAUAUUUGAAAAUUAUCAAAAUGUCAUUCUUGAGUGCAUUACUUUGCGUCUUAUCCCAUAUUUGUGACAGUAUGCAUCUACUUUUUUGCUAUUUGCAAGAAUUUUUAUAUUACAUUUCCUACAAGAUCAGUAUACCAAAGUUAUUAGCAGUGGAAUGAGGCCAAACAUGAAGAAUGCUGAGACAAGAAUACAUGCACAUGCACACAGUGAUAUAUAUAUAACUCAAAGCAUGAUAUAUAUAUAUGU